This 240-nucleotide ribosomal RNA is filed under the name uncultured bacterium. RNAcentral describes it as "partial 16S ribosomal RNA". It matches the Rfam family "Bacterial small subunit ribosomal RNA", at positions 96 to 334 of the family's 1533-position model. The record is from RNAcentral.
CGGCGGACGGGUGAGUAACGCGUGGGUAACCGUGCCUCAUACAGGGGGAUAACAGUUGGAAACGGCUGCUAAUACCGCAUAAGCGCACAGUACCGCAUGGUACGGUGUGAAAAACUACCGGUGGUAUGAGAUGGACCCGCGUCUGAUUAGGUAGUUGGUGGGGUAACGGCCUACCAAGCCGACGAUCAGUAGCCGACCUGAGAGGGUGACCGGCCACAUUGGGACUGAGACACGGCCCAA